UUACAGCAUCAUAUAAUGAGUUCAAAACGUGUAAAAUAUGGUAAUUGGUCACAAGAAUCAUUAAAAAUGGCAGUAAAUGCAGUUUUAGUUGAUGGUUGCUCGAAAUAUUCUGCUGCUAAACAAUAUAAAAUACCAAGACAAACACUACAUGACUAUAUAAAACGAGCACCUGUUGAUAAUUUUGUUAAAAAGUUACGUGCAAGACACCCAACAACACUCUCAGCUUUUCACUCAAAAAGUUAUUGACACUCAAAAAGAAUCUAUUUCACCAAAUUCAUCAUUUGCACUUCAGAAAUCAUCAGAAUUAGCCACCUCACACGAUGAAACCUCACAACCUUAUGGUGUUACAUUUGGAUCACUAGCUGGACUUGCUGUAGAUGGUGGCAUGAAACAUGUGCUGCUAUAUGUGGUGUUUAUACUAAAAAAGUAUUUACUUGUGAUGACUGUAUAAAGCACUGAUUCUUAAAAAAAAAGUUAUAUGUCAUAUAUUGAUAAAA
Molecule: long non-coding RNA, 497 nt
Organism: Hydra vulgaris (swiftwater hydra)
Lineage: Eukaryota; Metazoa; Cnidaria; Hydrozoa; Anthoathecata; Hydridae
Source: RefSeq, a predicted model, not a curated record